Tripterygium wilfordii is the source of this 92-nucleotide small nucleolar RNA. RefSeq annotates it as small nucleolar RNA SNORD96 family. The transcript has a single exon. The record is from RefSeq and is a predicted model, not a curated record. NCBI's taxonomy places the organism in Eukaryota, Viridiplantae, Streptophyta, Magnoliopsida, Celastrales, Celastraceae.
UUGCCGAUGAAGAAAUCAUUCAGUAAAAACACCAUCUUUCGGGACUGAAUGGCUUUGUUGAGCGCUGCUGACAUUCUGCAAUUCUGAGGCCU